RNAcentral lists this ribosomal RNA (464 nucleotides) under uncultured diatom. Its description in RNAcentral is "SSU rRNA". It matches the Rfam family "Eukaryotic small subunit ribosomal RNA", at positions 412 to 881 of the family's 1831-position model. The record is from RNAcentral. Lineage: Eukaryota; Bacillariophyta.
ACAUCCAAGGAAGGCAGCAGGCGCGUAAAUUACCCAAUCCUGACACAGGGAGGUAGUGACAAUAAAUAACAAUGCCGGGCCUUUAUAGGUCUGGCAAUUGGAAUGAGAACAAUUUAAAUCCCUUAUCGAGGAUCAAUUGGAGGGCAAGUCUGGUGCCAGCAGCCGCGGUAAUUCCAGCUCCAAUAGCGUAUAUUAAAGUUGUUGCAGUUAAAAAGCUCGUAGUUGGAUUUGUGGCUGUCUCGAGCGGCCUAGCACCUAGUGUUAGUGCCUGCUUGGGUCGCCAUCCUUGGGUGGAGCCUGUGUGGCAUUAGGUUGUCGUGCAGGGGAUGCCCAUCGUUUACUGUGAGAAAAUUAGGGUGUUCAAAGCAGGCUUAUGCCGUUGAAUAUAUUAGCAUGGAAUAAUAAGAUAGGACCUUGGUACUAUUUUGUUGGUUUGCGCACGAGGUAAUGAUUAAUAGGGACAG